ACGAAAUAAUUUUAUCUUUGGUACUAUAUUGAUGUUUAGUCUGUUCUGCUGCAGCUGAGAAGUACGCAGUUCUAGUGGUGCAACAGUAGAAAAUUUUUGUGCAAUAGAAGCGCAACGGUAGUUGUGUAGUAUGUCGUUGAUCAGAGGGCUUUCAAAAACUUUGCGGCCGUCACUCCUGAAAGUGCGGUGCACAAGUACUCCAGCAUUGUAUUAUCAUGAAAAAGUAUUGGAUCACUACGAAAACCCAAGAAAUGUGGGAUCACUGGACAAGAAUGACAGCAGAGUUGGGACCGGGUUGGUUGGUGCUCCGGCGUGCGGUGAUGUCAUGAAACUUCAGAUAAAAGUGGACGAUAACGGAAAAAUUAUAGACGCCAAAUUUAAAACAUUUGGCUGCGGCUCAGCAAUUGCUUCUAGCUCGUUGGCAACGGAAUGGGUCAAGGGGAAAACUUUGGAUGAAGCUCUGAAGCUGAAGAACACAGACAUUGCCAAGGAAUUACGCCUUCCGCCUGUUAAACUACAUUGUUCAAUGUUGGCAGAGGAUGCUAUAAAGGCAGCUCUAUCAGAUUACAAGAUUAAACAGGAAUCACUUUCCAAAAACAAAGGAAAAGAAUAAGGACCUAUGAUUUAAAAAAAAUAUUCAGAAAAUGAUUUUAAGAUUAAUUCAAGGUUUGUAUUUGAUGAAGCAUUGAAUAAAAAAUAAAAUACAAAAAUUUAUGAAAAUACAAUCCAUUUAUGAAGAAGCCAUGAAAUUAGUAAGCAGCUUUAUUUGGCAUAUGACAGCUGCAGUGGAUUCACAUCUGUGAUAUUUAAUUUUAAAAUUUCAUGUAAAUAUAUUGUGACUAGAUUAAUAUUCAUUAAUAUAAAGCUUAAUGCACUUGAUAUAGGUGCCUGUUUCAUGAAUGCGAUGACACAUUCUCCUUUAAGAGGAAGUAGGGGCUUUUCUCUGUAAAGUUGAAAUUUUAAGUUAUUGCAAAUGUUACCUCUGUCAUUUGCUUCUUUUACUGAAAUUUUCUUAGGAAACACAAUUAUAAAGAAAUAUAUUUGUAUGACAGUAUGUAGAAUAAAUGCUUUACACGUAA
This is an RNA transcript of Schistocerca cancellata (South American locust), 1079 nucleotides long. It is a transcript of the gene named iron-sulfur cluster assembly scaffold protein IscU, with no coding region annotated. The record is from RefSeq and is a predicted model, not a curated record. The transcript has 5 exons. Lineage: Eukaryota; Metazoa; Arthropoda; Insecta; Orthoptera; Acrididae.